Vicia villosa (hairy vetch) is the source of this 3024-nucleotide long non-coding RNA. RefSeq lists it as uncharacterized. The transcript has 6 exons. The record is from RefSeq and is a predicted model, not a curated record. Lineage: Eukaryota; Viridiplantae; Streptophyta; Magnoliopsida; Fabales; Fabaceae.
AAAUCAAUAAUAGUCCAUUUUCAUAUCAUAAAUAUAACACCACCUUCAUCAUCCAAAUCACAACCAAUUAGUCUCAAAUAAGUUUUCUAUCUCCUCACAACCACAACAAAAUUUAUAAACAGACGAAGGAAGAAGAAGGAAGUAUCUCUGCAAAUCUAGUGAGUCACCACCGCGAGUUCCAGCCAUCCACACCAUCACAGUCGCUGCAUACAUCUCUCUCUCUCUUUCAGUGUUCUCCUCCCAGGUUUAAUCGUGGUGUGUUCAAGCAUGGAAGAAGGAGUCUUGCAAAUAUAUGCGUUUUUAGAGAAGUAGUAUUAGGCAUGAGCUGAAUUGGUAAAUAGAUAUGAAAACAAGAUUUGCGACAAGAAUUGGCAACAAUGACCAUUCAGAAGAUUUUGAGACAACAGAAGAGGAAGACUUAAAUGAUCGUACUGGUGCAGUUAACACAGAAGAGGAAGAGGAUGAAAUUGCUGAUAUGAGAAAUAAGAAAAGCAAAAAAACUUCAUCAAGGAUAUUGCAUAGGUGUUUUCCUAAGAAGCUGACAGAAUUAGUUUUGUUGUUGAACGAGGGAAAGAAAGAUCCUAGUAAGAAAGAAGACUGUAUUAAGAAAGAGAAGUAUAUUAAGGAAUGUGGAUUUGGCGGAUUGUUGAAACUGAACAUCACCAUUAUCCCGGGGGUAUUUGUAAGCUGGAUUUUAAAUAACUUUGACAAAGAUAGGGGAAUGGUUGUCAAUGAAAAUGCAAGAAUUACUGUUGGAGAAGAAGAUGUGAAGAGGGUAUAUGAUUUGCCAAGGGGUAAGAAGAUAAUUGAUUUGGAAAAGGUUGACAAAUCAAAUAAAGAAAUGUUGAAGAAAUUUAAGGACUAGCUCUGGUACAUAGGGGAGACUUAUGAUAGUAUGAUCAACAUACAUACCAAUGUUUUGUAUGAAAGGUUGAUGAAGUUUGAAAUCACAAAGAACAAAGCUUGGGCAAAAGGUUUUAUAUUAUUGGCUAUCGAAACCAUUCUUUGCCCAACUACUUCAUAUUUGGUUAGUUUGAACUAUGCUACAGUGUUGAGCGAAAGUAAAGAAAGUUAGUAACUACAACUGGUGUCAACACUUAAUUCAACAUGCCAAUGGAGAGAUUAAGAAAGAUGCAUGUUUUGGGAAAGCAGACUUCCACUUUCUUCUAGUACAUUUUUUAGAUAUGGUGCAAACAACCAAAAAGAAGAAAAUAGUUGAAAAACCACCAAGUUGUAGUAAAUGGGAGGAUGAUAUUGUGAGCUUGGAGUUGAAGAAAAUAAAGGAGAAUGGAGGUUUCAACAAGGUGAUCGUUCUUGAUAAAAAAGAUUGUGAUGUUCCAGAAAGUAGUAGAGCAGAAAAAGACAUGGAUGAUGAAGUGAUGCAGGCCAAAAUUGCUGAGACUGCAAAACGUAGUAGAGAGAAAGUGAUCCAAAGAAAAAGGGAAAAAGCGAAAGACACAAUAUAUGGAUGAUGAAAUGAUGGAGGCUCAUUUGGCUCCACAUGACUACGCAUUAGAAGAGGCUAAAAAACAAAUAAAGAUUUGUGAUGAAAAGCUGAAGUUUUGGGCAAAUUGGAAGACUUAUUGGGUCAAACAGGCAGAGGAAGCUAAGUCUUCAAUGAGAAAAGGAAAAGAAGUUGGAGAUAAGGAGCAUCGUUUUGAGACGGAAAAAGAAGUUGGAGAUAAAGAGGAUGAUGCACAUGAGCCUAGAAAUGCAAGUCCUAAAUAGGUUGAGAGUGAAGACAAGGAUGAUGAUUCGGAUCAUGGGAAUGAAGAACAAGCUGAAAAUUUAGUUGAUAAAGAGGAUGAUGCAGAACAGCUUGGAAAAGAAGAUGAUGCAAAUCAGCCUGAAAAAGAAAGUCAAGAGAAGCAUGGUGAUACAGGGGAGAUGAAUGAUUAUGAUUGGGGUCAGCCUUCUUUUGAUAUAGGAUUCAAUACUCCUAUAUCAUUGGAAGUAGUAUUACCAAUGGAAGAAAGUAGAAAGUCACCACCUGAGCUGGUAACAUACACACUUAUGGAGAACGUACCACAAAAUGAACAGUUUCCGCUUCCAAAAAGGAUCUCAGCGUUGUCACAAUACUUUAGAUCCCCAUAUGUAAUGCAAAUGAAGAAGGCAAAAUUGAGUGAGGAAGACACACAAUUGGUCACCUAUGCCUGGACAUUGGCAAAAGUAGAUGGAGGAGCUAUGUACGUUGAUUUUUUUAUUCCAACCAUUUAAUUUUUUUUUUCAAGAGAAGCCCAUGUAGUGGCUGAGUAUGCAGAAGAUUUAAUAAGACAGCUCAAAUACAUGGAUUUUAAUGAUAUAGACAUCGAAAAUCCUGAAUAUUUUAUUUGAAGAGUCACUAUGCUGCAUAUGUGAUCGAUUUCAAAGAACAGAGGUUCAGAUUUCUGAAUAGUUGUGAAAAGUUCACAUUUCGAAAAGAAGAUGAAUGGGACAACUGGGGGAAGUGGAAAGUGAGAUAUGGGAUGGAGUUGAUAAAUGCUAAGAGAAAUGAACCAAUAGACUUUAGUGAAUGGAGUUGGGAGGGUGUGAAAUUGCCUUUAAAACAUGAUAGGAAAUCAUGCAGGCUAUUUGUUCUCACAUAUAUUGAGAAAUGGGAUAGCAAGCAAGCUGCAAUUUGGGAUUUUUUUAAGCAUUGGGAUAUGAUGACAAAUGAAGAUCAAGAUGAUUUCAUGGAGAUUCAAAGAGUAAAAGUGCUGCUAGACAUCUUGAAGCGUGAAGACAAUGAGCUGCUUUGAAACUUGACAAAGUUAGCCCUGAACUUGGUUGAAGAAGAGGCAGCAUGUGCUAUGGAGAUGACCUCGAGAAAGAAGCCGAGAAGAACAAAAAAAAGAUGAAGACAAAGAAGUCAGCCCUGAACUUGGGUGAAGAAGAGGCAGAAUGUUCUAUGGCACAUGACCUUGAGAAAGAAGCCGAGAAGAACAAGAAGAAACUGACGACAAAGAAGUCAGACCUGAACUUGGCUGAAGAGGUCGUAGACAAGAUCGAGAAAUAAGCCGGGAAGAAGACAAAAAAACAUAAGAC